CACGAAAGCGUGGGUAGCGAACGGGAUUAGAUACCCCGGUAGUCCACGCUGUAAACGAUGUGAACGAGGUGUGGGCAGUGUAGAAGCCGUCUGUGCCGGAGCAAACGCGAUAAGUUCACCGCCUGGGGAGUACGGUCGCAAGGCUAAAACCCAAAGGAAUUGACGGGGGCCCGCACAAGCAGCGGAGCGUGUGGUUUAAUUCGAUGCAACGCGAAGAACCUUACCUGGGCUUGACAUGUACGUAGUAGUGAAGGGAAACCGGAACGAGCCUUCGGGCAGCGUAGACAGGUGCUGCAUGGCUGUCGUCAGCUCGUGUCGUGAGAUGUUGGGUUAAGUCCCGCAACGAGCGCAACCCGUGUUGCUAGUUACAAGUGUCUAGCGAGACUGCCGGUAACAAGCCGGAGGAAGGUGCGGAUGAUGUCAAGUCAGCAUGGCCUAUAUGUCCAGGGCUACACACACGCUACAAUGGCUGGUACAAAGAGAAGCGAAAGGGAGACCUGAAGCGAAUCUCAUCAAAGCCAGUCAUAGUUCGGAUUGCAGGCUGCAACUCGCCUGCAUGAAGUCGGAGUUGCUAGUAACCGCAGGUCAGCAAUACUGCGGUGAAUACGUUCCCGGGCCUUGUACACAC
This 628-nucleotide ribosomal RNA is filed under the name uncultured bacterium. RNAcentral describes it as "bacterial SSU rRNA". It matches the Rfam family "Bacterial small subunit ribosomal RNA", at positions 752 to 1390 of the family's 1533-position model. The record is from RNAcentral.